RNAcentral lists this ribosomal RNA (472 nucleotides) under uncultured bacterium. RNAcentral describes it as "bacterial SSU rRNA". It matches the Rfam family "Bacterial small subunit ribosomal RNA", at positions 355 to 825 of the family's 1533-position model. The record is from RNAcentral.
UGGGGAAUAUUGGACAAUGGGCGAAAGCCUGAUCCAGCCAUGCCGCGUGUGUGAAGAAGGUCUUCGGAUUGUAAAGCACUUUAAGUUGGGAGGAAGGGCAGUAACCUAAUACGUUGCUGUCUUGACGUUACCGACAGAAUAAGCACCGGCUAACUCUGUGCCAGCAGCCGCGGUAAUACAGAGGGUGCAAGCGUUAAUCGGAAUUACUGGGCGUAAAGCGCGCGUAGGUGGUUAGUUAAGUUGGAUGUGAAAUCCCCGGGCUCAACCUGGGAACUGCAUUCAAAACUGACUGACUAGAGUAUGGUAGAGGGUGGUGGAAUUUCCUGUGUAGCGGUGAAAUGCGUAGAUAUAGGAAGGAACACCAGUGGCGAAGGCGACCACCUGGACUGAUACUGACACUGAGGUGCGAAAGCGUGGGGAGCAAACAGGAUUAGAUACCCCUGUAGUCCCUGAGCGGGCUGGCAAGGCGCAU